AGCGAACGUUAGCGGCACGCCUAACACAUGCAAGUCGCACGAGAAAGGGAGCAAUCCUGAGUAGAGUGGCGCACGGGUGCGUAACACGUAGAUAACCUGCCCUUUGGGAGGGGGAGUAACGUUCCGAAAGGAGCGCUAAUACCGCAUACAGCAAGAGCCGGUUUGUCCGGUUUUUGGUCGAAAGGUAAGGGACCCGCCAAGGCCGUACCGCCAGAGGAGGGGUCGUGCGGCCCACUCAGC
This 240-nucleotide ribosomal RNA is filed under the name uncultured bacterium. RNAcentral's name for it is "partial 16S ribosomal RNA". It matches the Rfam family "Bacterial small subunit ribosomal RNA", at positions 29 to 245 of the family's 1533-position model. The record is from RNAcentral.